Molecule: ribosomal RNA, 523 nt
Filed under: uncultured bacterium
Lineage: Bacteria
Description: bacterial SSU rRNA
Rfam family: Bacterial small subunit ribosomal RNA
Source: RNAcentral
GCGCAAUGGGCGAAAGCCUGACGCAGCCAUGCCGCGUGUAUGAUGAAGGUCUUAGGAUUGUAAAAUACUUUCACCGGUGAAGAUAAUGACUGUAGCCGGAGAAGAAGCCCCGGCUAACUUCGUGCCAGCAGCCGCGGUAAUACGAAGGGGGCUAGCGUUGCUCGGAAUUACUGGGCGUAAAGGGAGCGUAGGCGGACAUUUAAGUCAGAGGUGAAAUCCCGGAGCUUAACUUCGGAACUGCCUUUGAUACUGGGUGUCUUGAGUGUGAGAGAGGUAUGUGGAACUCCGAGUGUAGAGGUGAAAUUCGUAGAUAUUCGGAAGAACACCAGUGGCGAAGGCGACAUACUGGCUCAUUACUGACGCUGAGGCUCGAAAGCGUGGGGAGCAAACAGGAUUAGAUACCCUGGUAGUCCACGCCGUAAACGAUGAUUGCUAGUUGUCGGGAAGCUUGCUUCUCGGUGACGCAGCUAACGCAUUAAGCAAUCCGCCUGGGGAGUACGGUCGCAAGAUUAAAACUCAAAGG